ACGAACGCUGGCGGCGCGCCUAACACAUGCAAGUCGAACGGAGCUGAGAGAAGCUUGCUUUUCUUAGCUUAGUGGCGAACGGGUGAGUAACGCGUGAGUAACCUGCCCUGGAGUGGGGGACAACAGUUGGAAACGACUGCUAAUACCGCAUAAGCCCACGAUCCGGCAUCGGAUUGAGGGAAAAGGAUUUAUUCGCUUCAGGAUGGACUCGCGUCCAAUUAGCUGGUUGGUGAGGUAACGGCCCACCAAGGCGACGAUUGGUAGCCGGACUGAGAGGUUGAACGGCCACAUUGGGACUGAGACACGGCCCAGACUCCUACGGGAGGCAGCAGUGGGGGAUAUUGCACAAUGGGGGAAACCCUGAUGCAGCGACGCCGCGUGGAGGAAGAAGGUUUUCGGAUUGUAAACUCCUGUCGUUAGGGACGAUAAUGACGGUACCUAACAAGAAAGCACCGGCUAACUACGUG
Molecule: ribosomal RNA, 467 nt
Filed under: uncultured bacterium
Lineage: Bacteria
Description: partial 16S ribosomal RNA
Rfam family: Bacterial small subunit ribosomal RNA
Source: RNAcentral